UCUACCGCAAUUAACCCGCCCUUUCCCUGUGGAUGGGUGUUAAGCGGUUUCCCAGCCUGCGCCUCUUUGAGCUGUAUCAUGGUGUGGGACAUUUGUUACAAUCCGUGAACCGUGGUGAGAAGGCUUUGUGGAGAACGCAGUAUUGAGCUGGGCCUUGGCAGACAGGGUGAGGACUGAGCAUCCCAGCCGAAGAGACCGUGUGAGGAGAGCGUGGAGAUGGGUCCGCCUGUCACUCAACUGGCCUGUGAGCCCCCGAGGUUGGGGGCCCUGUCGUACUCUUUAUCACCCACUUCUAACUCAGCGUCUGGCACCCUUCAAAUGAAUUCUUCAAAUAAAUGAAUGAAUGGAUGGAUCUAUUGAAAUGAAUGAAUCCUUCAAGUGAAUGGAUCCUUCAAAUGGAUGGAUGGAUGAGGUUAGGGGAUGAUUGGUGUGAAAGCAAAGGGA
Molecule: non-coding RNA, 444 nt
Organism: Delphinapterus leucas (beluga whale)
Lineage: Eukaryota; Metazoa; Chordata; Mammalia; Artiodactyla; Monodontidae
Source: RefSeq, a predicted model, not a curated record